AGCCCACCAAGGCUACGACGGGUAGGCUGGUCUUAGAGGACGACCAGCCACACUGGAACUGAGACACGGUCCAGACACCUACGGGUGGCAGCAGUCGAGAAUCUUUCACAAUGGGGGCAACCCUGAUGGAGCGACGCCGCGUGGAGGAUAAGGUCUUCGGAUUGUAAACUCCUGUCAUGCGAGAACAAGGUUGCGGGGCUAACACCGCCGCAAAUUGAUGGUACCGCAAGAGGAAGAGACGGCUAACUCUGUGCCAGCAGCCGCGGUAAUACAGAGGUCUCAAGCGUUGUUCGGAAUCACUGGGCGUAAAGGGUGCGUAGGUGGCGUGGCAAGUCAGAUGUGAAAGCCCGGGGCUCGAACCUCGGAAUUGCAUCCGAUACUGCCAUGCUAGAGUACUGAGAGGUGACUAGAAUUCUAGGUGUAGCAGUGAAAUGCGUAGAUAUCUAGAGGAAUACCAACGGCGAAGGCAGGUCAC
This 475-nucleotide ribosomal RNA is filed under the name uncultured bacterium. RNAcentral describes it as "bacterial SSU rRNA". It matches the Rfam family "Bacterial small subunit ribosomal RNA", at positions 262 to 729 of the family's 1533-position model. The record is from RNAcentral.